UUCAGCUCUCAACAUGAGGUUCCCUGCUCAGCUCCUGGGGCUGCUAAUGCUCUGGGUCCCAGGAUCCAGUGGGGAUAUUGUGAUGACCCAGACUCCACUCUCUCUGCCCGUCAUCCAUGGAGAGACGGUCUCUAUCUCCUGCAAGUCUAGUCAGAGUCUCCUACACAGUGAUGGAAAAACUUAUUUGUAUUGGUUGCAGCAGAAGCCAGGCCAGGCUCCACGGCGCCUGAUAUACCAGGUUUCUAACAGGGACCCUGGGGUCCCAGACAGGUUCAGUGGCAGCGGGUCAGGGACAGAUUUCACACUCAAAAUCAGCAGGGUGGAGGCUGAGGAUGCUGGAAUUUAUCGUGCAAGGUAUACAAUAUCCUCUCACAGUGAUACAGCCCUGAACACAAACCUCCCUGCUUGGAGUGGCCCAGCUGCCCUCAUGUGCUCUCUGUCUGGGGAGCAGCAACAGCAGCCCCUGAGCCCACGUAAGAGGAAGGUGCUGGAGAGCUCAGGGCACUAG
Non-coding RNA from Tupaia belangeri chinensis (Chinese tree shrew), 508 nucleotides. The record is from the annotation of a RefSeq genome assembly. NCBI's taxonomy places the organism in Eukaryota, Metazoa, Chordata, Mammalia, Scandentia, Tupaiidae.